This is a long non-coding RNA of Austrofundulus limnaeus, 316 nucleotides long. RefSeq lists it as uncharacterized. The record is from RefSeq and is a predicted model, not a curated record. The transcript is spliced from 3 exons. NCBI's taxonomy places the organism in Eukaryota, Metazoa, Chordata, Actinopteri, Cyprinodontiformes, Rivulidae.
UGCUACAUUUACAUCAAACGCGUUGCGUGCCUCCAAAAAUCUCAAAAUGCACGCAUCUCGACGCUGGUGUCCAGUGAGGACAGACGCAUUCGAUGUGAAGAAGUCUAAACCAACAAGGAAAGAGAUGACGUUUACCAGCACUUGCUCUCAAACCAUACCCAACAUGUGCUCAGUUGGGACCCAGCUUUCCAUUAAAACUCUUCAACCCCAUGUUAAAAGUUUAGUAUACAGGUGACCCCAAAGUGUUUUGAUUUUGGAACCAACACUUCAACAACUACAUUUGGGCAAACACACACCUUAUUGUCAUCCACACCAG